UUUCCGUAGGUGAACCUGCGGAAGGAUCACUAAAGAGAACUGCCUUCGGGCUAAUCUCCCACCCUUUGUUUACAUUACCUUUGUUGCUUUGGCAGGCCCGCCUUUGGGCCGCCGGCUUCGGCUGGUCAGCGCCUGCCAGAGGACCCCAAACUCUGAAUGUUAGUGUCGUCUGAGUACUAUCUAAUAGUUAAAACUUUCAACAACGGAUCUCUUGGCUCUGGCAUCGAUGAAGAACGCAGC
Molecule: unclassified non-coding RNA, 240 nt
Filed under: uncultured fungus
Lineage: Eukaryota; Fungi
Description: sequence contains ITS1, 5.8S rRNA gene
Rfam family: 5.8S ribosomal RNA (bases 192-240)
Source: RNAcentral